RNAcentral lists this transfer RNA (73 nucleotides) under Haemaphysalis longicornis (longhorned tick). It matches the Rfam family "tRNA". From Rfam's summary of the family: Transfer RNA (tRNA) molecules are approximately 80 nucleotides in length. Lineage: Eukaryota; Metazoa; Arthropoda; Arachnida; Ixodida; Ixodidae. The record is from Rfam by way of RNAcentral.
CCGACGGUAGCGUAGUGGUUAUCGCACCAGACUGGUAUUCUGGAGGUCGUGGGUUCGGAUCCCACCCGGUGGG